GAGGAUCUAGCUCAGUGGUAGAGUGCAUGCUUAGCAUGCACGAGGUCCUGGGUUCAAACCCCAGUACCUCCA
Molecule: transfer RNA, 72 nt
Filed under: Camelus bactrianus (Bactrian camel)
Lineage: Eukaryota; Metazoa; Chordata; Mammalia; Artiodactyla; Camelidae
Also listed under: 2 other names
Rfam family: tRNA
About the family: Transfer RNA (tRNA) molecules are approximately 80 nucleotides in length. Their secondary structure includes four short double-helical elements and three loops (D, anti-codon, and T loops). Further hydrogen bonds mediate the characteristic L-shaped molecular structure. tRNAs have two regions of fundamental functional importance: the anti-codon, which is responsible for specific mRNA codon recognition, and the 3' end, to which the tRNAs corresponding amino acid is attached (by aminoacyl-tRNA synthetases). tRNAs cope with the degeneracy of the genetic code in two manners: having more than one tRNA (with a specific anti-codon) for a particular amino acid; and 'wobble' base-pairing, i.e. permitting non-standard base-pairing at the 3rd anti-codon position.
Source: Rfam by way of RNAcentral